This 566-nucleotide long non-coding RNA is filed under the name Phoenix dactylifera (date palm). Its description in RNAcentral is "long non-coding RNA (PDAC_LNC019707)". Lineage: Eukaryota; Viridiplantae; Streptophyta; Magnoliopsida; Arecales; Arecaceae. The record is from RNAcentral.
CAUACAACACUAGUCCUCUUACGAGAAGAGGUUUGAUCUUCACUCGGUUCACUAGUUCUAGAGGAACUAGGAACAUGGGGUUGGGGAUUAGUUUCUUCUCCCUCAGAAACAGGAGGAAUGCCAAACUGACUUUCCUCAAAAGAUGACAUAUCUAAAUUGAUGAAUUCAAAAAUAAAAACUAACCACAAGGAGGAUUGGAGGAAUUGCGUAGAGGGUCGGAGGGCAGAGGCAGAGCCGAGAUUCUGAGCUUCCUCUUGUGCUCUCAACAGGAGUGACCUUCUCUUCUCAACAGGAACCUCCUCUUGUGUAGCACUUGAACACUUGCUAAAUGCAAACUAAAAAUUAAAUUGCUAGAAGAGCACUUUAGAAGAGAGAAAUAAUAGUAGUAAAGAAGGAGAGAAUAGUUGGUUUGGUGUGGUGAGAAUGAGGGAGGAAAGGGCUAUUUAUAGAAGCCCAAAAUUUUUUUUUUCCCAAAAUACCCCUCAAUUCAGCCGUUAUUGGACUGUUGGGAGGGGUAAAAAUGUCAUUUUCCCAAAAUAGCCGUUGGAAACGGCUAUUUUCCUCCC